UUUUGGACAAUGGGGGCAACCCUGAUCCAGCCAUGCCGCGUGAGUGAAGAAGGCCUUCGGGUUGUAAAGCUCUUUCGGACGGAACGAAAUGGGCGGGACUAAUACUCCUGUCUGAUGACGGUACCGUAAGAAGAAGCACCGGCUAACUACGUGCCAGCAGCCGCGGUAAUACGUAGGGUGCGAGCGUUAGUCGGAAUUACUGGGCGUAAAGCGUGCGCAGGCGGUUUCGUAAGCUGGAGGUGAAAUCCCCGGGCUUAACCUGGGAAUGGCCUUCAGGACUGCGAGGCUAGAGUGCGGCAGAGGGAGGUGGAAUUCCACGUGUAGCAGUGAAAUGCGUAGAGAUGUGGAGGAACACCGAUGGCGAAGGCAGCCUCCUGGGCCAGCACUGACGCUCAUGCACGAAA
This 404-nucleotide ribosomal RNA is filed under the name uncultured bacterium. Its description in RNAcentral is "bacterial SSU rRNA". It matches the Rfam family "Bacterial small subunit ribosomal RNA", at positions 362 to 758 of the family's 1533-position model. The record is from RNAcentral.